This 660-nucleotide ribosomal RNA is filed under the name uncultured fungus. Its description in RNAcentral is "eukaryotic LSU rRNA". It matches the Rfam family "Eukaryotic large subunit ribosomal RNA", at positions 24 to 664 of the family's 3401-position model. The record is from RNAcentral. Lineage: Eukaryota; Fungi.
CCCGCUGAACUUAAGCAUAUCAAUAAGCGGAGGAAAAGAAACUAACAAGGAUUCCCCUAGUAACUGCGAGUGAAGCGGGAAGAGCUCAAAUUUAAAAUCUGGCAUGCCUCUGGCUGUCCGAGUUGUAGUCUGAAGAAGCGUUUUCCGUGUUGGACCGUGUAUAAGUCUCUUGGAACAGGGCGUCAUAGAGGGUGAGAAUCCCGUCUUUGACACGGACUACCAAUGCUUUGUGAUGCGCUCUCAAAGAGUCGAGUUGUUUGGGAAUGCAGCUCAAAAUGGGUGGUAAAUUCCAUCUAAAGCUAAAUAUAGGCGAGAGACCGAUAGCGAACAAGUACCGUGAGGGAAAGAUGAAAAGCACUUUGGAAAGAGAGUUAAACAGUACGUGAAAUUGCUGAAAGGGAAACGCUUGAAGUCAGUCGUGUCUGCCAGGACUCAGCCUUGCUUCUGCUUGGUGUACUUUCUGGUCGGAUGGGCCAACAUCAAUUUUGACCGUUGGAGAAAGGCUUUGGGAAUGUGGCACCUUUGGGUGUGUUAUAGCCCUUUGUUGUAUACGACGGUUGGGAUUGAGGACUGCAGCACGCCUUUAUGGCCGGGGAUAUACCCACGUACGUGCUUAGGAUGUUGGCAUAAUGGCCUUAAGCGACCCGUCUUGAAACACGG